GGCUAAACUGGCAUAGCAAGGACAAAAGCCAAUGUCUCAGUCAGUGGCUUGCUAUGACAAGGGUUUUAUUUCUCAAUACCGCAAAAUCUAAUAAAGAUCUGGGCACCCUUUAGGGGAACUAUUUCGCUUAUAGAAACCUAGCAAUUUAGACUGAGGACUUCACAGUCCUGUAGCUGCUCCAUUAGGAGCAGGAAACCUCUCUGAUCAACCAAGCAGGCUUACAGGGACACUCACCAGAUAAAGGACUGAAUGGUACUCACCAGGUGUUCUCUGCUGUAGACUGCAUAUGGCCUGAGCCACUCAGCUGCAAGAGGCCCAAAAAGUGCAGAGAAGUCUUCUAUAUCAAUAUAUAAAAGGGAAGAGAACAGAUUUUGGUGAAUGUUGGGAAUAUCUGCUUUACAGGUCA
RNAcentral lists this long non-coding RNA (406 nucleotides) under Bos taurus (domestic cattle). RNAcentral's name for it is "long non-coding RNA NONBTAT024852". The record is from RNAcentral. Lineage: Eukaryota; Metazoa; Chordata; Mammalia; Artiodactyla; Bovidae.